This 1758-nucleotide long non-coding RNA is filed under the name Macaca mulatta (Rhesus monkey). RNAcentral's name for it is "lncRNA (ENSMMUG00000064981.1)". The stretch from base 1609 to 1670 matches the Rfam family "U7 small nuclear RNA". The record is from RNAcentral. Lineage: Eukaryota; Metazoa; Chordata; Mammalia; Primates; Cercopithecidae.
ACAAGAUUCAUUUUUAAUGGAUUUGAUCGUCGAGUGCAAAUUUGAGCAUUAUUUACAGGAGCUUUCUGUAGAGUUAUUUCUGUUCAAAUAAAACCAGACUCUCAAAAUACAACAUACGCCUGAACCUACUUGACUUUUUUUUCCCUCCCUCUAGUUACCAAGGAAUAUCGUAUCUCAGAUGCAUGGCCUGCUAUCACACUGGUCUUUAAAGAAAAUAAAAAAAUGCAUGGCCAUAGUUCCAGGCAGUUCCUGGUAGCUGGAUUUAGUGGAUUUAUAUGACAGUACAGUACUUCAUCAGUUUUGCCCACAGGGCAAAACUCGCCUCCAUUCAGGCAUCUCUUUACAACUGGCAGCAAUGCAGCAUUAAGGGUUUGUAGCAGGACCUGCUGUUUGCAGUCCUGCCCCUUGUCGUGUUACUCUGGGUGUUGCAUACUCCAUGAUUACUAGAAGACAGACACCUGAGGCAUGCGAUCUGCUUGGAGUGCAUCUAUUUACAUGAAGCUGCUCACGGGAGCUGGUGACUCUUCCAGAUACGGGUUUCGUAGGUUGGCAAAGAGGUAUCAUACCAUCAGAUUUUACCAAUUGAAGAAGAGUAGCUGAAGGUUAUAUUGCAAUGUUAUUGUGAAACAUUUAACUUUCUUAAGCGUAAAGUGUACUAUCCCUUGCAGCUCAAUAGAAACAACGAUGUAUUUCCUUGUAGUAAUAUGUGGAGUCAGAAUGGGUUGUCCAAUCUGGUUUAAUCCCUGAGCAGCUAUGUUAAAAGUUAACUUUUUUAAAAAGCCCAAUAAAAAACUAAAUACUGUAUUAAAACUCUACCACAAUGUUACAGUGAUAAACAUAUUUCUGUACAGAAACAUUAAAGCUACUUAGAAGCUGUUUACAUCCUUUGCCUCUCAGAAAAAAAAAUAUACAUUUCUGGAAACUGUUCAGGUACUUACGCUGGACAUAAAUUACCCCGAGGUUUUUCUUUUUUUUCUGAGACAGUCUCGCACUGUCAGCCAGGCUGGAAUGCAUAAGAUAAGGUAUCUAGGAGCUGUCAGAUCUUAUUUCGCCCACAUAUAACCAUUUCUGACAGAGCCCUAAACACUGAGAGCUUGACUGCGCAGGACCGUGGCUAGCGUUGGAAAUAAAGACUCAGCUGGACUUGACAUCCCCAACUCCGGACAGAUGGGACCCUGGGAUGGGGCUGUUCCCUCAGGCCACAGCUUCCAGAGAGACCCUCCGUGAUCUCUGAAGAGCCUCUUGGGCAGUUUGGCCCCUGGUUAUAACUACGAUUCAUUCAGUAAGAAAUGACAAAACACCCACAGAUGUAUUUGGACCAAAUAAGCACAACAGAAGAGCCAAAGCUCGACGACUUCUAGGACAGAACAUUGUCUGGGGAAAGAUUACUGGCUUCUGAUAAUUAAAUAGCUAAGAGGAACAGUGAGUGCCUUUUCUCUGCUCGGAAUGUCAGAACAGGAAGACUGUGGAGACCUCCAAUUCCCUCUGACAAUGAGGCUUAGAGGGAGGUGCCUAGCAGUUAGAAAGCAGCAAAGCCAGACUGUCCCCAAGUCCCUACGAAGAAGGAAAAAAUAUCAUAGCACAUUAAUAAGACGCAAGAGUAAGUGCUACAGCUCCAGCUCUUUUCGAAUUUGUCCAGCAGGCCUUCUGGUCUUCACUGAACCGCCCCCCGCCCACACACCGAGAAAGAUACAAGAAUGCAAGCCCAGAUGUGGUGUGGUCUCUGGCAUAAGCCAACGUUCUCUGGGUUCUAUGUAC